CAGCCCACACCGAUUCCUCCGCUCCACGACUCCCCUCGACGCAAUCACGCCGCCGCCACCGCCGCCGCCUCAUCUCCCCAUCCCAGCCCCAUCCUCCCUCUCUAUGGCCUCAUCUCCUUCCCCUUUCUCUUCUCAAUCCAGAUUCAUGGAGGUGGGCGGCAGGGACGCCAUCGACCGCGAGUCCGCGACGCUAGGGUUCCUAGCCGCUGCCACACGCACAGCCGGCCGGAGCCACCUCCGCUCCGUCAGCCAUCGAUCCUCCUCUCCACCAUUGCCUGGAGCUGCUCUGCCCAUCUCUGCCUCGCCCCGAGCAGGACUCGGCCCGCCCAACAACCCCCUUCACGCCAGCCGUCCUAUGGCGGGGGCAAGGGAGUGGAGUAAGGGCUGGCCGCUGUGAUCUGGCGGCUUCGCCGUCCUCUGCGACAAGUACGGGUAUGCCCUGCUCCCACCUCCCUCCGUUCCCACCUUCCUCCGUUCGUGUGCUUUGAAUGCACCGGUUGGCUGGCUCACUGGCCGGACGGAUUGAUUUGUUUCCAUUUUCUGCCCCUCUUUUCCUAGGAUACUGAUCUAUUAUUAUGCAUCACAACUACAUGAAUGAAUGAAAGCAAAAUAUUCUUUCAAGAGCAAAUGGCACUUCUGUUUCAUCUUGUGAAACCAACCAUUACAGUGUUGAUGAAGAAACCAACUGAUCUGCUGAUUUUAUCAACAAAUAAGGCUAGAAUGUUGGAAGAUGUGGUUGGCUGGUACCACUCACAUCUGGGUUACGCAUGCUGCCUGAACGCCAUUGAUGUUUCAACUCAGAUGCUUAAUCAGCAGUUUACAGAACUAUUCUUGGCUUUGUGAUUGACCCUACAAAGACUGUUUCUGCUGGUAAAGUGGACAUUGGAGCUUUUAGCUAGGACAUACCCGAAAGAUUACAAGCCACCAGAUGAGCCUGUGAAGUAUCAGCCAAUACCACUCAACAAGACAUAAGAUUUUGGUGUUCACUGCAAACUGGUAACGCGACCAAUGCAAUUCUCUUAUUUAUGUAUUCUUUUUUGUUCAAAACGCUUGGUUUAGUUUUGUUCUAACUGUAUUUUCAUGCAGUACUAUUCUUUGGAUAUAACCAAUUUCAAGUCAUCCAUGGCUUCUCACCUCGUUGAUCUACUCAUUAUUGAUCAUAAGUAGAAAAGUAUUCCAUCGGUUUCUACAACAUUACUUGGUGGCGCGCUUGGUCUGUUUAAAACUUUACUGCUUGUUUUCUAUGCAAAACAUAUCUUAGACUUCAUGGGUGGGAAAGCGGUAGAUGUUACUUCAGGCCCUUUUUUGCUUUUGAUAGUGCAGACUACUUUAUUUCAGCACAAACAUUAGUUAUUAACAUCAGCUUUUCCCAUGUAUUUCAAAACUAAUUGAUUUCUUCAUAAAAAGCGGAUAAUUUAGGCUCUUCGGUUAUUAAGUUGCUUCUUUUUUUGCCAACAGUUGUAAGUUAACUUACUAAUAAUUGGGUGUGGGCAUAUCUUAGAUUUUUCUUCCUUACUCGUCCCUUCUUUCUCCCUCUUCCAUUCCCCCUUCCUCCACCUUUGAGGCCCUGAGUUGUGAAGGGCACGAAACCCUGGCGGCAGUGGCGGAUUGAUGCGGGGGAUGAUGGUUGCAUCACUGAAUUUGCUUUAUUGUGUUGUUGUUUCAGAUGAGGAUGAGGCCCUGAGCUUAUGCUUUUCAUGGGCACAAAGAUGAGGUCUUUGCUGCUGCGUGCAGUCCUGUAGAUACAUCACUUGACAUUUCUGGAGGUAAAGAUGGCAGAGGGUUCCUUUGGAGGAUCAGAUCGCCACAGGAUUUUCAGGAGCUGACUAAUAUGAUUACCUCAUCUUCCUGUUUUUAUUUGUGAUAUCUAUAGCUAUAAAAGUAUAUUUGAUAUCUUUAGCAAGUUUUUUUUCGUCAUUUUUGUGGGCAGGGCCUUAUUUUUCUUUUUGGCUUUUCAUUUAUAUGUACCUUAAUGUGUUGAUGAGUGCCUAGAAUUGCCUGCCAAGCUUAUCUUUUUUCGGCGUGUUGGAGCGGUUCUAGAUCUCGUUUUGUUCCGGGCCGGGUUUCAGUGAAUGGAUUCUUCUACUGUUUAUUUUCAUUGGCUGAACGUACGCAGGGAUUAAAUGGAUGUGUGUGAGAGUUGUGUCUGUGUUCCAUUGUUGUUGAUGUAGUAGCUUUCAAUUCGCAGGCAUGUCACCGUUGGCAAGUGCAAGAAGAAAGCCCCGAGAAAAAUGCACAAAGCCAAGAGGGAGAAGCAUUAGCACGACCUGCUCAAUGAUCUCUUCGGUGUACUUUUCAAAAUGCUAGGUGAGUUAAAUAGGUGUGCAUCAUGUUAAAUAUCCAAUAUUAUGGGCCGCCAAGAGUUAUUCUUGGGCGCCACUUCUAGGAGAUAGAGAUAGUUUUUCUUUUCUGUUUAAGUUACAUCUAUCUCUAUUCCCAAUCUUCUGUAAACUCUUCCGGUUAGUCCUCUAACUGUACGCAUGUGUAAUCUCCUCGAGAGGUUUUCUCUCGCUAUCAAUAUAUAAGCACGCGGGCUCCCGUCCAGGGGGUUGAGACGCUUCGGCAAUACUUUACAUGGUAUACAGAGCAGGCCUUUUCCAUCGCAUCUAGCUCAUCUACCUCCAUCGAUCAUCCCCAUCCACCUUCAUCGAUCAACUCCAUCGCCGCCAUGUCCUCCUCCUCUGCUGUUCCCUCCUCCGGCCUAAACUACAACAUCUCCGAGCCUCUCACCAGGACGAACUAUGUCCUUU
This is a long non-coding RNA of Aegilops tauschii subsp. strangulata, 2750 nucleotides long. RefSeq lists it as uncharacterized. The record is from RefSeq and is a predicted model, not a curated record. NCBI's taxonomy places the organism in Eukaryota, Viridiplantae, Streptophyta, Magnoliopsida, Poales, Poaceae.